RNAcentral lists this ribosomal RNA (496 nucleotides) under uncultured bacterium. RNAcentral describes it as "partial 16S ribosomal RNA". It matches the Rfam family "Bacterial small subunit ribosomal RNA", at positions 28 to 523 of the family's 1533-position model. The record is from RNAcentral.
GAUGAACGCUAGCAGCAGGCCUAAUACAUGCAAGUCGAGGGGUAGAAGAGGCUUGCUUCUUUGAGACCGGCGCACGGGUGCGUAACGCGUAUGCAACCUACCUUCAUCUGGGGGAUAGCCCGGAGAAAUCCGGAUUAAUACCGCAUAAAAUCACAGGAUGGCAUUAUCCAAUGAUCAAACAUUUAUGGGAUGGAGAUGGGCAUGCGUGUCAUUAGCUAGUUGGCGGGGUAACGGCCCACCAAGGCGACGAUGACUAGGGGAUCUGAGAGGAUGGCCCCCCACACUGGUACUGAGACACGGACCAGACUCCUACGGGAGGCAGCAGUAAGGAAUAUUGGUCAAUGGAGGCAACUCUGAACCAGCCAUGCCGCGUGCAGGAAGACUGCCCUAUGGGUUGUAAACUGCUUUUAUUCGGGAAUAAACCUUAUUACGUGUAAUAAGCUGAAUGUACCGAAGGAAUAAGGAUCGGCUAACUCCGUGCCAGCAGCCGCCGUAA